This is a long non-coding RNA of Patella vulgata (common limpet), 1860 nucleotides long. RefSeq lists it as uncharacterized. The transcript is spliced from 5 exons. The record is from RefSeq and is a predicted model, not a curated record. NCBI's taxonomy places the organism in Eukaryota, Metazoa, Mollusca, Gastropoda, Patellidae.
UAAAAUAGUGUAAAAUAUAAUUAUAUCUGGAGAGAGUUGUAGAUGAAUAGUGUUUGACAUUAUAACACCAAUUAUUGUUGAUUAGUAUAAAACAGACAACUGAAGAAAGAAAUUAAAUCAGUUUUUACAGAGAACUAACAUCAAGAUGAGGCAACUAAUUGUAUUUGGGAUUUUGGUAAUUCUUUUGUCCAUCACACUCUCAUCACGUGGACAUGGUGCCACUCAUAUAACUUGUCCACAUUGUCACUGUGGAUGUCGACGAGGAUGGAAGAGAGACAGGGUUGUCAAUGAAGUCGAAGAUGUUUUCAAGAAGAGUGCUGAGCCUUUGGAAGAACUAGAGAGGUUUGUAACUGGAGAAGACCAUGACUUAGAAGAAGAAUAACGUCAUGAAUGACUACGAUUCAAGAGUCACUUCUCCCCUUGAAAAAUAAACAGUAUAAAAUCAUUUGAGUUUUGUUUUCUGUUCUUCGUGUAGGGUAGGAAUACACGCCAUGGAGUGAGCCAGUCAUAAGAGAUAAAUUAUCUUGGCUUGAAACGGCUCUGCAAAAGAUGCUAUGUAGAUAUGUCAACAAAAGAAGAAGGGGUGUGUGGGGGGGGGGGGGUGUAGCGAGAAUUUAUAUAAAUAGAUUGCCUACACGGGAAGUAAUGACUAAUCUGAGACCAUAUAAUGAUGUAAACUUUGGUAUAUUUUUCCUUUAACAUGGGUAUAACUUGAUAAUCCGACUGGGCUAAAGAAGACGAGUAUACGCCAUAUAGUAUGUUAUGAGGGAAAUUUUGCCCAGGAAGCGGCGCUUUUACCUGCUCUUAUAUCGAAUUCCAACUGCCAAGGGAUCUUUUACGUGUACGUCAAUGUGUACACGGAACCUCGGUUUUUCGUUUCAUCCGAACGACUAGACAUAGAGUGUAGGUCUCUUUUGGUUGGUACCUUAUCGACCCUAGGGAACGUUUGCCAGGACAGCGGCACUACGGCCUAGUCUUAUUUACAUUCCAACUGUGAAGGAGGAUUGUUUAUAGGCGACCGCCAUCAACAACACGUGAUAUCCUUAAUUACAGAGUAAUCGAACACCAUCAACAACAAUUACAGAAUGUGUUACUUACGUCAUCAGUAGUAACAGAUAUUUCAAUAUUGUAUAAAUUAAACAUACACCUAUCAUUCGUGUGAAGCAAAAUUAAACGAAUGUUUUGAUUACUUUUGUACCUUGAUUUAGAUUACAUACGAACUGGAAGCCUGUGAAUUUUGCCCAGGUACCUUUUAACUGUUUAUUAUAUUAUUUUGUGUGUAUACUCGUCCUCUCCCCAGGGUCAUAGAAUUAAAAGAGAGACAGAUUUGAUACUUCCAGUCUACACCUGACAAACUUUGGCACCAAUUGUAAAUUACACACCCGCCCAUAUUGUUUAAGGCAAAAUUAAAAUGAUUUUAUGAUUACUUUUGAUACCUUUAGAUUUAAAACAGUGUAAAAUAUAAUUAUAUCUAGAGAGGUGUAGAAAAAUAUCCCCAGGUAUUAGUGACCAGUAUAAAAUAUCCAACUGAAGAAAUCAGAUGAAAUCAGACAAGAAGUCAACUGUUACAGAGAAUUAUCACAAAGAUGAGGCAACUAAUUGUAUUUGGGAUCUUGGUAAUUCUUUUGUCCAUCACUCUCUCGUCACGUGGAGAUGUCGCUGCUCCACGAAGAGCGAAGAGAGACCUGGUUGUCAAUGAAGUCGAAGAUGUUUUCAAGAAGAGUGCUGAGCCUUUGGAAGAACUGGAGAGGUUUGUAACUGAAGAAGACUUUGACCUAGAAGAAGAAUAACGUCAUGAAUGACUACGAUUCAAGAGUCACUUUUCAUGUUGAAAAAUAAACCAAACACGGUAUAAAAUCA